RNAcentral lists this non-coding RNA (29 nucleotides) under Rattus norvegicus (Norway rat). Lineage: Eukaryota; Metazoa; Chordata; Mammalia; Rodentia; Muridae. The record is from RNAcentral.
UUGUUUAAUCAAGAAAUGGCCCCGGAUUC